CGUACCGAUCAGGUUUCUCUAAGAACCUAACUCAACCCUCUUAGACCUUCCUCUGAACUUCUGAUUUUAUUUCUUUAGAAUCCUCAUAAUCUUUGUUAGGAUCAGAUAAAGUUUUGUCUUAAAUCCCAAAAUCUUGUCCUAAAACUAAGAUAGGUUGUAAGAAAGAAGGGAGAGCUACGGAGAGAAAUUAGAAACUUUUUUUGAAUGCAUCGGAUACUCUGCACCC
RNAcentral lists this long non-coding RNA (226 nucleotides) under Elaeis guineensis (African oil palm). RNAcentral's name for it is "long non-coding RNA (EGUI_LNC044917)". Lineage: Eukaryota; Viridiplantae; Streptophyta; Magnoliopsida; Arecales; Arecaceae. The record is from RNAcentral.